CAAAUUGAGCUCUCUCUCGAGAUCAUCAGGCUCUUGCCUGCGUUGCUCACGCAGUAAUAACCCUAUUUCCUUCUCCAAAUCAUCACCGAAUGAUCCGUCAUUAGUUCCUAUCAUCGGUCUCCUAUCCAAUUCAGAUAACAUAUUCAAAACCCCAAUUUGAUCAUCACCCACUACAACAACUCAAAAACUGAUAAAUACACAGUAGCAACAAUCACAACCUAAGCCCUAAAAGAUCCCAAAACGAAAACUUUCUACUUUUAAAACAGCUAAACCCCAUAUAUACAGGUCCAAGAAGAUAACUUUAAACUACAUAAGAUCGAAACUGCUACCAAAUCAAUAUUCUCAAUCCUAAACUACAAACGUCGA
RNAcentral lists this unclassified non-coding RNA (366 nucleotides) under Hevea brasiliensis (rubber tree). Lineage: Eukaryota; Viridiplantae; Streptophyta; Magnoliopsida; Malpighiales; Euphorbiaceae. The record is from RNAcentral.